CCUACGGGUGGCUGCAGUGGGGAGUUUUCGGCAAUGGGGGAAACCCUGACCGAGCAACGCCGCGUGAGUGAUGAAGGUCUUCGGAUUGUAAAGCUCUGUUAUAAGGGAAGAACGGCAGCUAGAGGAAAUGCUAGCUGUUUGACGGUACUUUAUGAGAAAGCCACGGCUAACUACGUGCCAGCAGCCGCGGUAAUACGUAGGUGGCAAGCGUUAUCCGGAAUUAUUGGGCGUAAAGAGUGAGCAGGCGGCAGUUUAAGUUUGGAGUCAAAGCGAGGGGCUCAACCCCUUAACGCUCUGAAAACUGAACAGCUAGAGUGCGAGAGAGGUAAGUGGAAUUCCAUGUGUAGCGGUGAAAUGCGUAGAUAUAUGGAGGAACACCAGUGGCGAAGGCGACUUACUAGCUCGAUACUGACGCUCAGUCACGAAAGCGUGGGUAGCAAACAGGAUUAGAUACCCCAGUAGUC
RNAcentral lists this ribosomal RNA (464 nucleotides) under uncultured bacterium. RNAcentral's name for it is "bacterial SSU rRNA". It matches the Rfam family "Bacterial small subunit ribosomal RNA", at positions 338 to 795 of the family's 1533-position model. The record is from RNAcentral.